AAUUACUUCGUUCCUCUCGCACCCCUUUCACUAUCCUCUCGCAGCAAAGUGCCUUCAAACAUAUACAGACGUAACCUCUGCAAUUUUGAAGUAAAGUUCAAAAGUUUUACAUCCAAAACCACAUCUCUCUAAUUCACUUCUUAGUUUACAAAGACUCGUCCUCUAAUCCUAGCUGGUGCCCAGAUUGUAACAGGGCAUAACCCUGAUUUAUCAUUAAGUACAUGUUGCUUUGCAAGAGCUUUUACAUUCGUUUGAAGGAAACCUUCUACAGAAACUAUUGAAACCCAGUAAAAUAUGAGAGAGGAUUGCAAACCCUGAUAGAGAUUGAAGCCUCUGUAAACGACAGUUUUAUCCAAAGGACAGGAAAGGGAGACGCAACCAUCCGAUUUGACAUCCAAUCGUUACGGCUGAUUGUAACCUCCUUGUAUACAAAAAAAAAAAAAAAUCCGUAAGAGCGAUGCCAUUUAGAAGUAUAUCUUACAUGGUUUAAUAAAAAAAAAUUGCAUGUUUUAUUAUUCAUAGUAGAUUAUGAAUCCCAUGACAUAACGUAUCUUCCUUCAUUGGGGUAGUGAGCAAAGCAUGGAAACAUUGAAAACGGAUUUAAAGUAAGACAAUGAUGUGUCAUCACCUUCAAAUAAGACGGGACUGUCUUAGUCUAUGAUUCUUUUCCCACUAGGGAAAAUAGGCAUGUGGUUUAAUAAUGGGUGAGGUUUGUAUAAGGUGUCGACCUUAUACUAUUGAAGUAAGGUGCACCUCAAAACUAUGCCGAAAAUGCAGUUUCGAUGCCGCUAAGUGUUGCGAUGAUAUGAAAAUUUACUGUUUCUCCCAAUUAUAAAAUUAAAGUUCUAGAAAUUGUGAUGAUCAAGCAGAUUUAUAAAAUCUUGAAAAUAGACGGUCCAGAUAAUGUGUUAGAAGAUGAACUAUUUUUAGGACUAUGAAAUCCCCUUUUUUUUGCAUGCCUAUGAAUCUCAAGGUCAAGGUGAUUGAUUUGAGAGUUUUCUAGCAUAGGAACAACCUUCUCUCGUUGGUUUUUUAGGUGCACUUUACUUGUACAGUAUAAGGCUGAUACCUUAUAUAUUUUUUUUCCUUUGAUAUUUGGUUUAAAAGCUUCUACGUGUUCCUGGUCUUACAGAAGAAAUGAGGUUUUUCUAGAGAGUCAAUCAAGUCAGGUCCAGGGUCGGGUCUGGGUCAAGUCGACUUGGACCCAAACCUAGCCUAGUCGAGCAUAGCCAUACUUAGUACUAGAUCAGGUUAGGUCUGUCUGUGUGUGUGUGUUUUUUUUUUCUAUUGAUCCUACUUGGAUAGGUCUGGGCUAGACCUAGACUCUUGACCUGGUAGGAUCCAUGUCCGUUGGAGUUGGACUUAAACCCCUGGUGCCAUUUCCCAAAACUUAGGCACAGAGCGGAGUAGCCCCCGGGUCGACCCAACCCUAGUUACACUUCUGGUUCCAAAAUAAGAUUCAUUUUUUAUGACCUUGUCUUGUUGUAUGUGACCCAUCCUUUUGUAUUUUUUUGAGGCAUGAGCAUGACAAAAACUACAAGAAGAACAGGGUUACGUUGGUUUCACAGAUACAUUUUGUUAAAAAAUGAGAGUCUUGAUGUCAUCUUAUGUCUGAUGAAAUCACAUGGCCUUAUAAAAGGACCACUUGGAGUUGAGUUACAUUUUUUGCAUUUUCUAUUUUCUUUUUUCUUUUUUUUGUUGAAAACCCUGCAAUUCGGAAAAUUCCAAAUGUGGAUCCGGAUCAGAAUCGUUGGGUCGGUCAUUUAGGUUUCCCCUAUAAUCAAGCCCUAUCAUUAUUAAAUUUUUCAUUUCAGACUUUUGUCAAUCUCAAUCUUUGAUCGGGCCAAUCCACCCGGAUCUUGGUUCUAACUUUGGGUUCAAAUCCAGAAAAUAAAAUAAACGUUGGAACACCAAAAUGAUCAUCUUUCUUUGUUCCGUAAGUGCAUCGAGAUCUUUCUACCGUGGUCUGAGAGUUGAAUUUCAUUUUUGAAUUCGCUAUCGAAUGCAGUUUGGAGUUUGAAAUCAAAUUUGUGGAUAAAAAAAUCAAAAAGGGAAAAAAAAAUUGACAUGCUCUUCAUGGAAUGCAGGCGUAGAUAGAGAGGUAUCUCGAAUAAGGCGUUUGGAUGUGUAUAAAGCACCAUGUGCAGCUCUCUAGACGACCCCGAGGUGUUAGGGGUGGCAAUGGGUCAGGGCCGGACCCGGACCUGGAGCCAAACCCAACCAGAGCCGAAGUCCCUGGAUCGAGACUUGGACUUGAAAAUAUAAUGUGGGACCUAGACUCAUACAUAGACUCAAAAAAUAUAAUGUGGGACCCAAACCCCAGACCUGGACUUAAAAAAUAUAAUAUAGGACCCAGACCCAGAACUCGACCUAACCAGAUCCGACCUAAAAAUUAAAAUAUCUAUAUAUUUAAAUAUAUUUUAUAAAUUGGAAUCCAAAAAUGUAAUAUGAGACCUGGAACAAGACCCACUUGGACUUAAACCCAAACUCAAAUAUUGUUUUGGUCCAAGAUUUAGAAUCAGACCCACCCUGUAGGGUCCAAUAUUUGGACCCAUACCCGAACCCGGAUCCGGUGUUCCAAUUGGGUACCAAGUCAGGUUCAGGGUCCGGGUCCAUUAUCACCCCUUCGUGGUGUUUGAGGUGGGCCUAAUAGCUAUGGGAUAUCACCCCGCUUUUAUAGAAAAAGAUGCACAUUUGUGGUGGAGGCGAAACUAUAUUUUGCCUCCAUUUAACAAGGGCAAUCAAUGCUACAAUUUAACACUAUCCAAACUGGAUCUCAGAGCAUGUGUGUAUAUGAAAGAGAUUGCAUAGCUCUAGGCAGGGGUUGUUAGGACAGUGUACCACAAUGUGAUGUCUAGAGUUUCAUUUUUUUCAUCCUAAUUAAUCACAAAUAAGUGUGCACCUAUGUGUGUUUGUGCACAAGUAAGAGAGAUACAUAGACAUUAUCAUCUGUUAUGUUUAGUAAAGCUUUUUAUAUUUUUUUUACUGUAUAGAAGUUAUAUACUACCUCUCUUUCAGAUUUUGUACGUGUCAUCAUCUCAAUAAGGUGCACCUAAAACAAAUAUUAAAAAAAAAAAGUUGAUAAAAUAAAAUAACCAAAAUACUAUUAAAACUUUCAGCGAUUUUGUUUUAUAUUUUUUGAAAGUACGAGUUUAAAAGGGAGUGGACACCCAAAUUUUGGUGUCCAAAACUUUUGUCAAAAAAAAAUUAAAAAUAAAAUAGUGUAGAGGCAUAACAUUGUGAUUAAAUCCGUCUUAGCCGUUCAUUUAGAUCGAAUGGCGGAAGUAUAGAAAGCUUUCCCAUUACUUUUAUUCUUCUAGACCCGUUCAUUCCUCCCACUUUUAAGGGGAGAAGAGGUGUGGGGAGGGGGGGGGGGGUUGUGAGAGAUAUACAUAUAUUAUUUAGUCAAUCUAGAGAUGAUUCCUAUCAUUGCCCUUCUAUUAUAGUAAUGAUAAACAAAUUGCUUUUAUUCUUCGUAGCCGCAUCACCACCCACUUGUGGAGAUAUAUAUAUAUAUAUAUACCACUUGUGGAUAUAUAUAUAUAGUCCUAGAGAAGACCCCUAACAUUGCUCUUAUAUAAUGAGAGAGAUCUUUCAAUAAUUUUAUCUGUAUCUUGUAAUUUAUUUUUUUAAGGGGUCGUUUGGGUACCAAAAAAUAUAAUGCUUGUGAAAUACAUUACAGUCGUAAUAUAUUACCGGUGUAAUAUAUUACUUGGAAAUAGAUUGUUGUUGUUUGCAUAAGACCUGGAUGCAAUAUGGAAAAUACAUUGCUAUUGUUUGGCUACAUCUGGAAGAACUCUGAGAAAUUUAUUAUUGUCUUUUUAUUUUUUUUAUUGCUCGAACAUUGAUUUGAAGACUUGAUUUAAAUUUCUUAGGCUUAGAAUAUAUCAAUUUGGCAUAAUGAUUCAUAAAUUAUUCGUUAUUAUAAUUAGCAAAAACCAACUCCUACCCAACGUUGUCAGAUUCGUUUCGAAGUUUUAUUUGGUGAAAAAAAUGAAACAAUUUGGUGCUUUGGCCGAUUUGGAGGAAGACUUCAGAUUUUUUUUUAGUUUAAUAUAAAUAAAUUAUAUAUUUAUACAUAAAAAUAAUGGAAAAAUUAAAAAUAAACAUUUCAAAAAAAAAUUAUAUAGAUAUUUUUAAGUAUACCUAAAUCUGAUCAAAACAACUUGAAUCUGAACAAAGCAGCAGCACCACCAAGCUUCACUUCGCUUCGGUCUAGACCUAAAAUGUGAAGACUUGGCCUCUUCAGCCAAAGGAUGCAAAUUUGACAACACUGCUACCAACAUAAAAAUAAUAAUAAUAAUAAGAUAUUAACGUCCAUUAAAUUUGCAUUUCAUAUAUACUGAAAAAUGCUUUGAAAGAAAUAGGGCUUCAAAUGACUUGUAAAAAAUAUAAUAUCUUGGAAUAUGUAAAAAUGGACCAUUUACAAGAAUGGACCUGCGUUACAAAUAUGGAAAGCCUUUUAAACGGAGUUCAACUUUCAAUGGGUUAAUAGAGGCAUACGGGUCCCAUGGGGAAUAGAUUACUCGUCACUUCCCGUAAUUCAUUUCUCAUCCAUUUAUACGGAAAAUGGAUUUCAUGAUUUUCAUCAUAAUUUUGUUUCUUUUCACCAUAAUUCGUUUCAUUUCAAACCUAUUUUUUGUGUACCCAAACAUUGAAGAUGAGCUAUUUCAUGACAAUCCAUUUCCUCAUAAUGGAUUAUCACAUACCCAAACGGAAGUCUUUGGUAAUGUUAAAAAAAAAAACAAAAAAAAACAAAAAAAAACAAAAAAAUCAAAAAAAAAGAAAAUAGAAAAAGAGAUCAUUAGCCAAUGUAGAGGAGACCCCUAAAAUUGGUCUCAUAUAAUAGUGAACAAAUUGCUUGUAUUCUUCUAUUCCUCAAAGCCCUCCCACUUGAGCUAUUCUCCAUUACGUUGUCAUGUUAGGUUUUAGUUUGGUGGACAGGGUUGUACAGACAUAAGGAAAAUGAAAGUUGCAAACGGAUCUUGGUUUUUAAACCUUGAAAUCACAUGGCCUUCCAAAACAAUUGGAAUAUGUAAGUUGUGGACUUAAUUAAAUCCUAGUGAUUAAGGAUUCUAGCUAGUUUGUUUGGUGGUUAAGGUGAGAUGACUAAAGCACUAUGUCUAGGUCUUGAAUUCUAGCAAACCUAUCCCAAAAUAAGAAAUUGGCAAGUUGUUUUCAUGGCAUUAGGAUCGGACUGGUCAUCAAACAUGUAAAAGAUCUGGUCUAUGCAAAACCGGUUAACCGAUGGUCAAACUGGUUAACUAAUGGUUAAAAAAAUAAAUAACAAUUAGGAAUAAUAAUAAAAAAAUGUGAUACAAAUUACAAUAAAAGAUUUCUAAUAUUGUUUAUCCAAUUUAACUGGUCAAAAUUAACUGGUCCAAUUGGCAAAAAAUGGUUAAGCAAUGGUUUUCAAAGGUUUUUGCCAACCCUGAUUUUUUAUUUGGAUAAAAUGGGCCAGGUAGUCAGCACUCUGACCAGUUCGACUAGCUAAUCUGGUAGUCUUUAUUAUUAUGGUUGGAAGUGCACUUUUCUCGAAAAUUGUCUUUAGUUUCUUAAGGGUGCAAUUUUCACUAGGCCGCAAAAAUGUGGUUUAGUAAAGUUGCACAUUAGGACCUUGUUGAAAUGGUAAAUCCUUGUGGCCUGCAAUUCUAUUCCCACCUUUUACUAUAAAAUAAGAAACUCAAAAAAUGGUACAGAUAUGGUAGAUUUGGGAUACUCAAUAUGGACGAUCUAGAAAACAUACUACAAAAUUAGUUUUGAGGCUCGAAAUCCUUUUCCUUUUUCUUCAAAUCCAUGAUCAUCGAGGUCAAGAUGAUAGAUUUAAGAUACUCCGUGAUCUUUAAAACAUACUUCAUUUUUCAAUCAGAUUUAAAGUUCAGCUUUAUAAAGGUGCAGCCCUACCAAAUGCUUUUUUUUUUUUUUAAUGUUUCUACAUGUGUAAUAAUCAAAAUAGCUGUCAAAAAGAAUAUAGUUGUUUUUUUUUUAGAAGAUAAAAUAUUGCAACAUCGUCUUUCUUUCUACCAAAAAAAAAAGCUUUUCAAAAAACCCCCUUAAGAAUGACCUUUUUAAAAUAUGUUCCUUUUUGUUACUUUUGCCGAUCAGUUUUGGGUGGUAGGAUGCAACUCCAUUCGAGCACUAGAUAUUCGUUAAAUAUUUGCUUAAUUAACCCUAUCAACUACCGUUUAGAGAUUGAUCAAAAUUCACAUAAGAGAUCAACAUUUUACCUAUAACUUUAAAUAAGUAACAAAACAUACAUCAAAAUCUGACCAUGAUUUGGAAUUAGUGUUCGUAAAAUCAAACCAGAACGGUUAACCGAUCAAGGGGCUGGGAGCGGUUAGAAUUGGAACCGAACUAACCAAAGCAGUUAACCAGACUAACCUGUCAAGUAGAUUUUUUUUUUAAAAAAAAGGGUAAAAACCCCCCAAAAAAAUUUAAAAAAUAAAAUAAAAAAGCUUAUAUUAAGUACAUACUAUCAUAUUACAUAUAUUUAUCUUACAAAAAAAAAUUGAAACAACGUUUUAUAUAAAUUAGUAUUUGAAAACUAUGGAGAUAUGCAAUACGAUUUAUAAUUUGACAUUUAUACUAUGGAGAUAUGCCAAACCUCACUUGCUCAGUAACUUUUUGAGUUGAGUUUUAACAUGAAAAAAAAAAAAAUUAUAUAAGAUGACUACUUUAAAAUGUAGAAUUAAAAUGCAUAUUUAAAAAAACACGGGUUAAUUUUUUAUCCAUUUCAGCAUGUGGAAACAUGAGAGAUGAGUAAAACACUUUUUAGUUUCUACCUCUUUUCCUCAUAAAAGCUAAUAAACAGAAUUUCAGGAGUAUGAAAUUGCAACAAAUGAUAGAUAACUCAUAACAAAUAAAAAAAUAAAUUAGAAGAAAAUGUCAUAACCAAACAAGAAGUUGAGAACACAAGACAACAGAUACAUCAACAGUCAAUUAUCAAAUUUUUCAUCAAAACAAAAAAAAAAAUCCACAAUAAUCCCAUAAACCAACAAUACAUUAACAAAAAAAUAGGACUAAGAAGCAAAAAAAUGGUGCACGGUUAUCGGAAUGAGGAGCCAUGAGACCUUGAAUCGAUGGGAAUUAUGGAGUAAAACAAAAUCAUUAUACGAACAAAAAAAUAAAUAAAUAAAUAGUGAGAGAAAAAUAAUGAAACACUACUGAUCAUCCAUGAAAAAGAAAAGCAAAGUUGGCCAUUGAUAGAUUAUUCCCCUAAAUUAUCAUGACCAUGAAUCAAUAAAUAACCUCCAUAACCAGAAAAUAAUCACCUCGGCAACAAAGUUAUUCAAGAUAUUAACCUGUUUGCCAUAGAAUUUGUGCCUUUUAUAGACAUGCAACUUAAAAUGUAGAAUUAAGAUGAAAAAAUUAUAUAAGAUUGCAAUUUUAACAUGAAUAACAUAUANNNNNNNNNNNNNNNNNNNNNNNNNNNNNNNNNNNNNNNNNNNNNNNNNNNNNNNNNNNNNNNNNNNNNNNNNNNNNNNNNNNNNNNNNNNNNNNNNNNNNNNNNNNNNNNNNNNNNNNNNNNNNNNNNNNNNNNNNNNNNNNNNNNNNNNNNNNNNNNNNNNNNNNNNNNNNNNNNNNNNNNNNNNNNNNNNNNNGAAAGAAAUUUUUUUCUCAUAUUCAUCACACAAAAAAUAUAUUUUUAUAAAAAAAAAUAUAACAUUAAAAACAAUCCAACAAGCUCGCCAAAAAUAUCAAACAUUAAAAAGAAAAAACAUAUUUUUCUCAUAUUCAUCACAAAAAACAUAUUUUUGUAAAAAAAAUAUAUAACAUUAAAAACAAUCCAACAAGCUCACCAAAAAUAUAUGAAAUAAAAAAAAAAAAAAAAAUUUACUCAUAUUCAUCACAAAUAACAUAUUUUUAUAAAAAUAAAAUGUAAUUUUAUUAAAAUAUAUAUAUAUUUAAGAACCCUAAAAUCGAGCCAAAGAACACAUAAAUUUUAGAGUCAAAAUCAACCCCAAAUCUUUCUUUUUUUGAAUAAAUUGACAUGGGGAUAUGAUAGAUACUUCAAUUAGGAUUCAGAUGCCCCAAAUUUCAUGAAGAUCCAUUCACUAUUGAGAUUGUUAUGCAAAAAAUGGCAGAUAUUUCACUUCACAAAAUUUUCAAAACAAAACGCAGCAAAAAAAAAUCAUAUCAAUAAAUUUACUCAAUAAUAAAUCAACAUAGCUAAUGUAUUCGAUUGAUGAAGCCUUGAUGAUCGAACUUCACUGAUCAAUUCGAAAAAAAACGAUCAAUACAUAGAUCAAAAAUCAAUUUUUUUCGUCAAAUAUAGUUCUUCGCUGGUGCUCACUUUUGGCCGAAAUCAACCUCAAAUAUUCAUCUUUUUCGACAAAUCGCAAUUGGGAAAAGUUUAAACCUUCAAUAAUGCAUCAAAUUCCUCCAUUUCCAUGCAUAUUCAUGGGGUAUUGAAGCUCAGAUUGAUAAAAUGGAGGAAAUUUUACAGUUUCAGAAAUCCACCAUUUUCAAUCCACCAAAAAUCGUU
Molecule: long non-coding RNA, 8485 nt
Filed under: Amborella trichopoda
Lineage: Eukaryota; Viridiplantae; Streptophyta; Magnoliopsida; Amborellales; Amborellaceae
Description: long non-coding RNA (ATRI_LNC004139)
Source: RNAcentral